GCAGUGAAUUGGUGGCGGCAGGUGUAAGUAAUUGCUGAGAUUUGGGUUUGGGGAGUGGGCUCACGAGUGUUUAUGACAUUAUUAUAAAUGAAUAUAUGAGUGCAUAAAUUAGCAAAAUAAAAGGGGGCUUUUCUGGACCAAUGAUGAGACAGUGUUUAUGAACAAAAGAUCAUGAUUAAUCCAGUUCUGCACAAAACACUGAGGUCCAUUAGAAGACAAUAGGUCUUGGCUGUUUCAUUCCUUUUAAGAGCUGUUUAAUAUUCCACGGAGCCCUGGGCUCCCCCAGUGUUGCCUGGGUCUGACUUUGCCUCAGUGAAAACUGCCUCGAAUUCUUUCUUGCACCGAUGGGCAGAUGGGCAGUGUCGGAGGAUCGUGUCAUCUGUCCCGUGGCGCUGGUUGGCUUGGUCAAGUCAGUGUUCAAACUAUCUCCUGCUCUUUCAAGGGGAUCUGGGGCUCUAGAAGAUUAGAGGACUUGGAGAGGUUAGUGACUUGCUCGAGGUCGGCUAGGAAGCAAGACCCAGGAUUCCAACUCAGGUCUGUGUGAUUCCUCUGCAAAAUGGAGAGGUGGAAGGAUGGAUGUCAGGUCUGAUGGAUGGAUGGAUGCCUACAUCAAGAUACAUGCAUAGAUGGAGAGAUGGCUGGCUACCUCAUGAAUGCUGGACUGUUGUGAGAAUCAAACGAGAUAAUGUAUGCUGAGGCAUGCUGUGAACACUACGUGCUGGGUACAGGAGAAUGGAGGCUCCAGAGUGAAAUUAAUGACACUUUGUCGAUGAAGAUCUUGAUUGUGACCUCUGUGGAAAAUGAGCCAUGAACCAACCAAUAAUGAAAACCAUGUAGCUGGUCUUAUUAUUCUCUAAUCAUGAAGACCAUUAUUGUUAUUUGUGGACUAAGGAGCAGAAAGACUGAUAGUGGACAUAGGCCAGCUGAUUUAAUAAUUUAAGAAAGAACUGUUAUCCUGAGUAAGGAGCAUAGAGACAAAUAUAAAAUGAACGCACUCUACCUGAUUUAAUUAUAGUCUUCUGGUGAAGAUCUUGCUGUUAUCUCUGUGAAUCAGGAGAGAAGAGAUUGAUAAGGAAUAGACGAGAUUGGAUUUGGUCAUUUCCCCAAGGUGAAGAGCAUGGCGAUUUCUUCUGUGGUAAGGAGCAAUAAUGAAGACCAUGGUUGAUUUAAUCAGUCUCUGCUGAUGAAGAUCUUGGCUGUUACCUUUGUGUGUAAGGAAGCUAAAGACUUAAGUAAAUAACAGUCCAAAAACUUGUCAAUUAGGAAUGAAUGCGCAAUGAUUCAAUUAUUCUCCAGCGAGGAAGAUCAUGGUUGUUGUCUGUUUGAGUAAUGAGUGUAGAAACCUAUAAUGGAGGCGUGAUGGCUGAUGCAAUCAUUUUCCACUGAUGAAGGUUUUGAUGGCCACCUGUAAUGAACAGCCCCAUCUGAUUUAAUCACUGUGCAAUGACCGUGAACUGUACAGUUACCUCCGUGUGUCACAGGAAGACUCUUUUGACUUAAGCACCCUUCCAUGGUCAUGAGGUUUCUGGUUGCCUCUGUGUGUUAGAAGCUUGGAGACCAAUGCCUUCUGCUGUGAUCGCGUUCUCCACAGUUGCCUCUGGGUAGGAGCCUGGACACUAAUAGAAAAUGGAUGCACUGGAGCUGAUUUAAACAUUCUUUGGUGGUCACAAGAUGUAUAGCUGCCUCUGUAUGUUUGGCGCAUGGAAAAAAAUAUGAGUUUUUGUGGACAUACACUCUUUAUUUGAAAAGUAUGAAAUAUAAUCCAAGAAAGCCAGCCAUGGCUCAGUGAUAAAUAUGGAAUUGAUAUGAAACAUUAUAUUGAUUAAUCACCUUUGAGGAUGAUUAAUAAAAGAGAGAAAGUGAUUCUAUAUAGAGAUGCAGGACUAUUUCAGGCUCAUUCAUGAUCUAGGUUUUUGUGCUUCAUGGUUAUUUUAUUAUCAUCAAUAAAAAGAAAAAAGAAAAAAAUCUUAUACUGUCCAAAAAAUUAGGGAGACCAGCGCCCAGUGUUCAUGUGAGGGGGGACUAGUGUCCAUUUCCACCAAGCAGCCUGGAAAUGCUCAUCCUCACAGGGCAUUGGAGAGGUUUCUCAAGAAGCGAGUGCCUCCAUGGGGGAAAUAAUUAACCCCAGAUUAAAUGCUGCUUCAGACCUAAUGGAUGGUAAAAACAAGAUCCAAAAGGAUCAAACUCUUUCCAGGUAGAUUAACUGUAUCCCAGAACAAAGCUCAAGGACAUUUUUAGAAAUACGUAUAUAUCCAGCACACAAGCAGGGUAAAAUUCACAUCUGCAAAUUUACCAGGCAUUCAAAGGGGCAAAAAAUACACAACCCACAAUUAAGAGACUAAUGAAUUAAUCAAAACCAACCCAGAACUUAUACAGAUGUGAGCAUUAGCAGAAAAGGACUUGAAGUAGUUAUUAGAACUGUCUCCCUGGCCGGGUGUGGUGGCUCAUGCCUGUAAUCCCAGCACUUUGGGAGGCCGAGGUGGGUGGAUCACCUCAGGUCAGGAGUUCAAGACCAGUCUGGCCAAAAUGGUGAAACCCCACCUCUACUAAACAUGGACCAAUGAUGACCACUGGUGGCGUUUGAGUCAUGGACGAUGAAUACUACGUGUCUGAAACUCUGAGGUCCAACAGAAAACAUAAUUGGAUAGAUAUCAGAAAUGUGCAAAGAUCAUAUUCUUACUUUGGAUUAAUAGAUUGAGGUUCAUCAUCAAUAGAUAAAUGAUAGAACAAUUAAACAAGAAUAAAUAAAGGUGAAUCAUUGUUCAAUUAUGAAUAUACAUGAUGAUGUAAGAAAUAUUAUCACUAAAAAUUUUAAACACAGAUGCCCCUUAAAGAAAUGGAUCAUGAGUCCCGCCACUGCACUCCAGCCUGGGCGACAGA
This 2880-nucleotide long non-coding RNA is filed under the name Homo sapiens (human). RNAcentral describes it as "HSALNT0379229". The stretch from base 134 to 210 matches the Rfam family "Small nucleolar RNA SNORD112". The record is from RNAcentral. Lineage: Eukaryota; Metazoa; Chordata; Mammalia; Primates; Hominidae.